GCACACUGGAACUGAGACACGGUCCAGACUCCUACGGGAGGCAGCAGUGGGGAAUAUUGCACAAUGGGCGCAAGCCUGAUGCAGCCAUGCCGCGUGUAUGAAGAUGGCCUUCGGGUUGUAAAGCACUUUCAGUCGUGAGGAAGGCGGCGUCGUUAAUAGCGGCGUUGUUUGACGUAGCGACAGAAGAAGCACCUGGCUAACUCCGUGCCAGCAGCUGCGGUAAUACGGAGGGUGCGAGCGUUAAUCGGAAUUACUGGGCGUAAAGCGCAUGCAGGUGGUUUGUUAAGUCAGAUGUGAAAGCCCGGGGCUCAACCUCGGAAUAGCAUUUGAAACUGGCAGACUAGAGUACUGUAGAGGGGGGUAGAAUUUCAGGUGUAGCGGUGAAAUGCGUAGAGAUCUGAAGGAAUACCGGUGGCGAAGGCGGCCCCCUGGACAGAUACUGACACUCAGAUGCGAAAGCGUGGGGAGCAAACAGGAUUAGAUACCCUGGUAGUCCACGCCGUAAACGAUGUCUACUUGGAGGUUGUGGCCUUGAGCCGUGGCUUUCGGAGCUAACGCGUUAAGUAGACCGCCUGGGGAGUACGGUCGCAAGAUUAAAACUCAAAUGAAUUGACGGGGGCCCGCACAAGCGGUGGAGCAUGUGGUUUAAUUCGAUGCAACGCGAAGAACCUUACCUACUCUUGACAUCCAGAGAACUUUCCAGAGAUGGAUUGGUGCCUUCGGGAACUCUGAGACAGGUGCUGCAUGGCUGCGUCAGCUCGUGUUGUGCAAUAUUGGGUUAAGUCCCGCAACGAGCGCAACCCUUAUCCUUGUUUGCCAGCGAGUAAUGUCGGGAACUCCAGGGAGACUGCCGGUGAUAAACCGGAGGAAGGUGGGGACGACGUCAAGUCAUCAUGGCCCUUACGAGUAGGGCUACACACGUGCUACAAUGGCGCAUACAGAGGGCGGCCAACUUGCGAGAGUGAGCGAAUCCCACAAAGUGAGUCGUAGUCCGGAUUGGAGUCUGCAACUCGACUCCAUGAAGUCGGAAUCGGUAGUAAUCGUGGAUCAGAAUUCCACGGUGAAUACGUUCCCGGGCCUUGUACACACCGCCCGUCACACCAUGGGAGUGGGCUGCUAAAAGAAGUA
This 1128-nucleotide ribosomal RNA is filed under the name Vibrio parahaemolyticus. RNAcentral describes it as "bacterial SSU rRNA". It matches the Rfam family "Bacterial small subunit ribosomal RNA", at positions 308 to 1431 of the family's 1533-position model. The record is from RNAcentral. Lineage: Bacteria; Pseudomonadati; Pseudomonadota; Gammaproteobacteria; Vibrionales; Vibrionaceae.